CGCAGAGAGACGGCGGGCGCUUGGUGGCGGCCCUGGCGGGUCCUGAAACUUUGAGGGAGUUAGCUUGAAGUUUUCCCGCUGGUUUAGGGAAAGCUACCGGCAGUUUCCGGGAAAGGAGACAAGAUUCUGGCUCUGGAAGUACGGGUUCGGAGACAGCGCUUCGGCCCGGGGAAUCCGCAGUCUGAAGCUGGAGACUACCCGAGCCGCGGGCGAACCUCCUCCGAGGGCUGGUCGGGAAGCCCUCCCGGAGGUGGGAAACCAAGGCCCGGCCUCCGGAGCCCCUCUAAAGAAGAUGACUCCAGAGCAGCCUUUGCUUGCUGUGCACGAGGCCCUGAGGAAAUGCUUUCCCGUGGUGGAGGAGCAGCAGGGCCUGUGGCAGAGCACGCUGAGGGACAGCCAGCCCCUCCUGGCCUCCCUCAGCAACCUGGCAGAGCAGCUGCAGGCGGCCCACAAUCUGCGGUUUGGGGACGUGCCUCCACUUCGGGCCUUCCCAGACUUAAAAGAGCGGCUGAGGCGCAAGCAGCUGGCGGCUGGCGACACUGUCUUGGACAAGUUAGGGGAGAGGCUAGCCACCCUCCUCAAGGUGCGUGACACCGUCAGCAGGCACGUGGAGCAGGUGCUUGAGAUCUAUGAGCAGCAUGCAGACUCGAUUGGCAUUGAUGCUGUUUUGCAGGCUUCAGUGGUCAGCCCUUCUGUGGCUGACAUGUUGGAAUGGUUGCAAGAUAUUGAGAGACAUUAUCGAAAUUCUUACCUGAAGAGGAAGUACCUCCUGUCCUCGAUCCAGUGGGGAGAUUUAGCAAACAUCCAAGCUUUGCCCAAGGCCUGGAACCAAAUUUCAGAAGAUGAACACCAAAGCCUUGUACAAGAUACCCUGUUGAAUGUUUCCUUCUUCCUGGAAGAGUAAGGAAGCCGUGUGUUUACCAGCAAACUAGGGGGACACAGUUGAAGACUGAUGUUGGUGCUUUCUGGACAAUGUAUGGGCAUCGAAUGGCUGUGUCAGUUGUUUACCCUCGUGAUCUGGGGGUGGACUAAGCUGUGGUGUGUGUGCUGCUGCCCAGCAUCACGAGAGAGGAGCGGGCCGCAUGUUGCCAGCUUGGGAAGAGACCCACGUUUGUGAAGUACGGUUUCUGGUGGACACGUAUUGCCUUUUGCAGCGACAGAAGAGUUGAAAAAUCCCCAGUCGAACCAUCUGAGGUCAGGGCAGUGUGUCAUUGUUUUCCAACUGCUGUAGCUCCAAGCCAUCAUGACAGUUUCCGGAGCCCGCCACCAGGGGGAGGUGGUGUAGCAUGAGUUAGGCUCAGAGCUUUGUCUUUGAGGAGUUGUCCUCCCACCCCGUCUGAGAGUAAGUGCCUGGGGGUAGCCAAGACUGCUAAAAUGACAGGGGUUUUGACCAAAGCUGGCGCCUGAUUUGCCACAUUCCUCUGAUCUUGGAGUAGCUGCACGGUGGGAGAAGACCGCCCAGAAUCAGGCCAUCAGGGCUACGUUUCUGAAGCCCAGUGCCUUCAUCUGUGAAAUGGUCGGGUACUUCCAGACCUGUCAGCUUCGGGGGCUGUGGACAAAUCUGGGUCAUUGGAUGUAAAGAGGUUUAAUAAAGAGUAUAGAUAUUUUUAAAAUGAAGAUGACUUUUUUCUUACUACAAAAGUGAUAUAUAUGCUUUUUAAAAAGUCAUAGGAAAACUGUAGAAAAAAAUAUAAGUGUAGAAAAGUAUGAAGCAAGCUCCAUCAGAGAUACUCUGAUAUAUACCCUUUCAGUGUCCAUAUUCACAAAUAAAAAAAAAAAAUCCCCAAAUAUAGUAUCAUUGAUAUAUACUGUUACUUAGUCUUUUUUUAAAAAGUAAAAAAAAAAAACAAAACAUAGUUUGGCCAUCUUUUCGUAUCUGUAAAAAUAGCUCAAUGAAAGUACAGUAGAUACCAUUACACAUAUAUACCAUUUUAUGAAUGUAUUAGAGCUUUUAUUUUUCCAGAUGUUCAUGUGUUUCUACCUAUAAAGAUCAUACAUUGUGAUUGUGAAAAACCGAAGUAUUACAGAAAGUAAAAAUGCACAUGGUCUACUCUUUUUAACAAUAUGGUAGAUAUUUUUCCAGGAGCUUAAAAAAUGUAUCACAUACAUAAUAAUUAUAAAUAAAACUUAUAAACAUU
Molecule: RNA transcript, 2138 nt
Organism: Callorhinus ursinus (northern fur seal)
Lineage: Eukaryota; Metazoa; Chordata; Mammalia; Carnivora; Otariidae
Gene: AIRIM
Gene name: AFG2 interacting ribosome maturation factor
Source: RefSeq, a predicted model, not a curated record